Molecule: ribosomal RNA, 253 nt
Filed under: uncultured bacterium
Lineage: Bacteria
Description: partial 16S ribosomal RNA
Rfam family: Bacterial small subunit ribosomal RNA
Source: RNAcentral
UACAGCGGGGGCAAGCGUUGUUCGGAAUUACUGGGCGUAAAGGGCGCGUAGGCGGCCUUCUAAGUCGAACGUGAAAUCCCUGGGCUCAACCCAGGAACUGCGUCCGAUACUGGAAGGCUUGAAUCCGGGAGAGGGAUGCGGAAUUCCAGGUGUAGCGGUGAAAUGCGUAGAUAUCUGGAGGAACACCGGUGGCGAAGGCGGCAUCCUGGACCGGUAUUGACGCUGAGGCGCGAAAGCCAGGGGAGCAAACGGG